RNAcentral lists this ribosomal RNA (445 nucleotides) under uncultured bacterium. RNAcentral describes it as "partial 16S ribosomal RNA". It matches the Rfam family "Bacterial small subunit ribosomal RNA", at positions 354 to 796 of the family's 1533-position model. The record is from RNAcentral.
GUGAGGAAUAUUGGUCAAUGGACGGAAGUCUGAACCAGCCAUGCCGCGUGCAGGAAUAAGGUCCUAUGGAUUGUAAACUGCUUUUAUUCGGGAAUAAACCUCUUUACGUGUAGGGAGCUGAAGGUACCGAAGGAAUAAGCACCGGCUAACUCCGUGCCAGCAGCCGCGGUAAUACGGAGGGUGCAAGCGUUAUCCGGAAUCAUUGGGUUUAAAGGGUCCGCAGGCGGGCUAUCAAGUCAGAGGUGAAAUCCCACAGCUUAACUGUGGAACUGCCUUUGAAACUUAUGGUGUUGAAUUAAGUGGGCGUUGGCGGAAUAUGACAUGUAGCGGUGAAAUGCAUAGAUAUGUCAUGGAACACCGAAAGCGAAGGCAGCUAACGAUACUUAUAUUGACGCUCAUGGACGAAAGCGUGGGUAGCGAACAGGAUUAGAAACCCCGGUAGUCC